GACGAACGCUGGCGGCGCGCCUAACACAUGCAAGUCGAACGAGCGAGAGAGAGCUUGCUUUCUCGAGCGAGUGGCGAACGGGUGAGUAACGCGUGAGGAACCUGCCUCAAAGAGGGGGACAACAGUUGGAAACGACUGCUAAUACCGCAUAAGCCCACGGGUCGGCAUCGACCAGAGGGAAAAGGAGCAAUCCGCUUUGAGAUGGCCUCGCGUCCGAUUAGCUAGUUGGUGAGGUAAUGGCCCACCAAGGCAACGAUCGGUAGCCGGACUGAGAGGUUGACCGGCCACAUUGGGACUGAGACACGGCCCAGACUCCUACGGGAGGCAGCAGUGGGGAAUAUUGCACAAUGGGGGAAACCCUGAUGCAGCGACGCCGCGUGAGCGAAGAAGUAUUUCGGUAUGUAAAGCUCUAUCAGCAGGGAAGAAGAAAUGACGGUACCUGACUAAGAAGCACCGGCUAAAAUACGUAG
Molecule: ribosomal RNA, 470 nt
Filed under: uncultured bacterium
Lineage: Bacteria
Description: bacterial SSU rRNA
Rfam family: Bacterial small subunit ribosomal RNA
Source: RNAcentral